This 511-nucleotide ribosomal RNA is filed under the name uncultured bacterium. Its description in RNAcentral is "bacterial SSU rRNA". It matches the Rfam family "Bacterial small subunit ribosomal RNA", at positions 34 to 518 of the family's 1533-position model. The record is from RNAcentral.
CGCUGGCGGCGUGCCUAAUACAUGCAAGUCAACGGUCUUUUCUAUGGAAGCUUGCUUCCACUGAGAAGAUAGUGGCGAACGGGUGAGUAACACGUGGGUAACCUGCCCAUAAGAGGGGGAUAACAUCCGGAAACGGGUGCUAAUACCGCAUAGUUUUCUUGAUCGCAUGAUCGGGAAGGAAAGACGGCCUUUGUGCUGUCGCUUAUGGAUGGACCCGCGGCGUAUUAGUUAGUUGGUGAGGUAACGGCUCACCAAGACGAUGAUACGUAGCCGACCUGAGAGGGUGAUCGGCCACAUUGGGACUGAGACACGGCCCAAACUCCUACGGGAGGCAGCAGUAGGGAAUCUUCCGCAAUGGACGAAAGUCUGACGGAGCAACGCCGCGUGAGUGAAGAAAGGGUUUUCGGAUCGUAAAACUCUGUUGUCAGAGAAGAACAAGUUGGAGAGUAACUGCUCCAGCCUUGACGGUAUCUGACCAGAAAGCCACGGCUAACUACGUGCCAGCCGCAGC